CUGACACAGGGAGGUAGUGACAAUAAAUAACUAGACCGGGCUUUAUAGUCUAGUCAUAGGAAUGAGAGUAAUUUAAAUCCCUUAUCGAGGAUCAAUUGGAGGGCAAGUCUGGUGCCAGCAGCCGCGGUAAUUCCAGCUCCAAUAGCGUAUACUAAAGUUGUUGCAGUUAAAAAGCUCGUAGUUGGAUUUCUGGUCGAGGCAGCCGGUCGGCACCAAGUGUGUUUGUACCAGGCGCCUCGUCCAUUUUUGUAGAAGCUGUGUCUGUCAUUCAGUUGUCGGGCAUAGGGUCUGCAUCAUUUACUGUGAGCAAAAUAGAGUGUUCAAAGCAGGCUUAGGCCAUGAAUACAUUAGCAUGGAAUAAUAAGAUAAGACCUUGGUCUAUUUUGUUGGUUAGCAUUCCGAGGUAAUGAUUAAUAGGGAUAGUUGGGGGUAUUCGUAUUCAAUUGUCAGAGGUGAAAUUCUUGGAUUUAUUGAAGACGAACUACUGCG
RNAcentral lists this ribosomal RNA (489 nucleotides) under uncultured Chrysophyceae. Its description in RNAcentral is "SSU rRNA". It matches the Rfam family "Eukaryotic small subunit ribosomal RNA", at positions 451 to 947 of the family's 1831-position model. Lineage: Eukaryota; Chrysophyceae. The record is from RNAcentral.